This 602-nucleotide long non-coding RNA is filed under the name Polistes fuscatus (common paper wasp). RNAcentral describes it as "uncharacterized LOC122514638". Lineage: Eukaryota; Metazoa; Arthropoda; Insecta; Hymenoptera; Vespidae. The record is from RNAcentral.
ACAUUCGUCCAGGAUUAAAAAACUCUUUUCGUCAAUCGUAUUCUAAUAAUAAAUUAAAGAAAAAACUGAACUAACGAUAAAAAUUGUCAUAGAAAAUAUUAACGAAACGUGGGAGGAAGAAAAAUACGGAAGGACGAUCGUGGGACCGUUGCCGACGAGGACGAGGACGAGGACGAGGACGAGAACGAGAACGACGUAUCGUUCGUCUGGAAUUCUACUCUGUUUCUCCGUAUUCCACCCCCGUCUUUACCAUCUUGUAUUUCCCUCUGUACAAUUACACGUUGCGACGAUGAUAAACGGUGUUAUUUCAAAAGCGUGGGCAACAACGAUCGGAAUGGUAGUAGACGAUAGAAUGUGACAUUCGUCCAUUAUUCAACGAGACGGCGAACGAGACAAAGACGACACAGAGAGAAGAGGAUAAAAGAGUAGAUGAGCGGGCGCGAGUGCUGUAUGUUUAUCGGAAAACGUAUCGAGGCCACGCGAAGCAAAGCUCCUGGAGCGCAGGUCCGUUGUUGGCGGGACACAACCCCCUGAAACAUCCCCUUCUUACCUUCGAGACACCGCAACUAGAACCGCUGGCGGUAGCUCGAGGGAUCGUAGGU